GUUUGAUCAUGGCUCAGGAUGAACGCUGGCGGCGUGUCUAAGGCAUGCAAGUCGAAUGGGUUAGACCCAUGGCAAACGGGUGAGUAACACAUUGGUAACCUACCUCAAAGUUCGGCAUAACUCCGCGAAAGUGGAGAUAAUACCGGAUGUGGUCUGGCAACUUUCGUUGCCCGACUAAAGAUUUAUCGCUUUGAGAGGGGCCUAUGGCCUAUCAGCUAGUUGGUAAGGUAAUGGCUUACCAAGGCUACGACGGGUAGCGGGUGUGAGAGCACGACCCGCCUCACUGGGACUGAGAUACUGCCCAGACUCCUACGGGAGGCUGCAGUCGAGAAUAUUCCCCAAUGGACGAAAGUCUGAGGGAGCGACGCCGCGUGACUGAAGAAAUCCUUCGGGAUGUAAAAGUCUUUUCUCAGGGACGAAUCAAUGACGGUACCUGAGGAAUAAGGGGCUGCUAAUCACGUGCCAGCAGCAGCGGUAAUACGUGAGCCCCAAGCGUUAUCCGGAUUUAUUGGGCGUAAAGAGUCUGUAGGCGGCUAGGUAAGUUUUUCGUUAAAUUCCGGUGCUUAACACCGGACCCGCGGGAAAUACUGCUUGGCUUUGAGGGUGGGAGAGGCAGAUAGAAUUGCCGGUGUAGCGGUAAAAUGCGUUAAUAUCGGCAAGAAUACCAAAUGCGAAAGCUUUCUGCUGGAACACUCCUGACGCUGAGAGACGAAAGCGUGGGUAGCGAAUGGGAUUAGAUACCCCAGUAGUCCACGCCGUAAACGAUGGAUGCUUGACAUUGGCAGUUUCGACCCUGCCAGUGCCGCUUAACCAAGUUAACACCUUAAGCAUCCCGCCUGGGUAGUACGAGCGCAAGCUUAAAACUCAAAUGAAUUGACG
This 879-nucleotide ribosomal RNA is filed under the name uncultured bacterium. RNAcentral's name for it is "bacterial SSU rRNA". It matches the Rfam family "Bacterial small subunit ribosomal RNA", at positions 11 to 915 of the family's 1533-position model. The record is from RNAcentral.